CCUGGCUCACGAUGAACGCUAGCUACAGGCUUAACACAUGCAAGUCGAGGGGCAGCAUGGUCUUAGCUUGCUAAGGCCGAUGGCGACCGGCGCACGGGUGAGUAACACGUAUCCAACCUGCCGUCUACUCUUGGACAGCCUUCUGAAAGGAAGAUUAAUACAAGAUGGCAUCAUGAGUCCGCAUGUUCACAUGAUUAAAGGUAUUCCGGUAGACGAUGGGGAUGCGUUCCAUUAGAUAGUAGGCGGGGUAACGGCCCACCUAGUCUUCGAUGGAUAGGGGUUCUGAGAGGAAGGUCCCCCACAUUGGAACUGAGACACGGUCCAAACUCCUACGGGAGGCAGCAGUGAGGAAUAUUGGUCAAUGGGCGAGAGCCUGAACCAGCCAAGUAGCGUGAAGGAUGACUGCCCUAUGGGUUGUAAACUUCUUUUAUAAAGGAAUAAAGUCGGGUAUGGAUACCCGUUUGCAUGUACUUUAUGAAUAAGGAUCGGCUAACUCCGUGCCAGCAGCCGCGGUAAUACGGAGGAUCCGAGCGUUAUCCGGAUUUAUUGGGUUUAAAGGGAGCGUAGAUGGAUGUUUAAGUCAGUUGUGAAAGUUUGCGGCUCAACCGUAAAAUUGCAGUUGAUACUGGAUAUCUUGAGUGCAGUUGAGGCAGGCGGAAUUCGUGGCGUAGCGGUGAAAUGCUUAGAUAUCACGAAGAACUCCGAUUGCGAAGGCAGCCUGCUAAGCUGCAACUGACAUUGAGGCUCGAAAGUGUGGGUAUCAAACAGGAUUAGAUACCCUGGUAGUCCACACGGUAAACGAUGAAUACUCGCUGUUUGCGAUAUACUGCAAGCGGCCAAGCGAAAGCGUUAAGUAUUCCACCUGGGGAGUACGCCGGCAACGGUGAAACUCAAAGGAAUUGACGGGGGCCCGCACAAGCGGAGGAACAUGUGGUUUAAUUCGAUGAUACGCGAGGAACCUUACCCGGGCUUAAAUUGCAGAUGAAUUACGGUGAAAGCCGUAAGCCGCAAGGCAUCUGUGAAGGUGCUGCAUGGUUGUCGUCAGCUCGUGCCGUGAGGUGUCGGCUUAAGUGCCAUAACGAGCGCAACCCUUGUUGUCAGUUACUAACAGGUUCCGCUGAGGACUCUGACAAGACUGCCAUCGUAAGAUGUGAGGAAGGUGGGGAUGACGUCAAAUCAGCACGGCCCUUACGUCCGGGGCUACACACGUGUUACAAUGGGGGGUACAGAGGGCCGCUACCACGCGAGUGGAUGCCAAUCCCCAAAACCUCUCUCAGUUCGGACUGGAGUCUGCAACCCGACUCCACGAAGCUGGAUUCGCUAGUAAUCGCGCAUCAGCCACGGCGCGGUGAAUACGUUCCCGGGCCUUGUACACACCGCC
RNAcentral lists this ribosomal RNA (1381 nucleotides) under uncultured bacterium. Its description in RNAcentral is "bacterial SSU rRNA". It matches the Rfam family "Bacterial small subunit ribosomal RNA", at positions 18 to 1394 of the family's 1533-position model. The record is from RNAcentral.